UUUUGUUUGUUUAUUUUGCUUUGUUUUUUGUUUCCUCUUAAGUAGUGGCCAGAAGAAAAAUAAUUUUCCAAGGAAAGUCAAGCAGGAGCUGCCCACUUGAGCUUUCUUCCUGCUCCCUUUCCCGAAAAGAAUGGAACUCUUAGUAAGCUGUGGAAAGAGCUCGGAGUGCUCUGUGCUGCAGAAGCUGCAAGGAGCUACAGGCAAUGCACAGAGGCAGCGUUUGGGCCUGAACUGCACCGAACAAAAGGCAGGACUCUCCCUCUUCAUCCCUUCGAGAGGCCCUGACCAUCUCCUUUUCUUACUGCAAGCUGCACAGCAAUGACUCUAAAGUGCUUGAGGACUAGAUCCUCCAUCCACCUGAAAGGAACAUGACAAUCUGAGCAAAUAUUCCAUUAAGUAAGGCUACGAUUUCCAGGUGGGAGGAAUGGAGACUGCCAGCAGAAGUGGCAUCAGCUCAUCCAGAACAGCUCUGAUCUCCCUGUCUCCCCUUUGUGUGUGCUCUGGGGUUGGCCUAAGGACCGAACUGCUCAGUGGAUUUCUUCCUGACAGAUGACCUUUCUGGUAACUGGGGAAUCUCUCAAAGUAUCUCAGUUGUCACUUGGCCCCAUCUUUUGUAUAAUAUUAACAAGGUCUUUCAAGCCUUCUCACAUAAAAUUACUUUCAGAUAGCUCCAGUAGGUUUUCUUUCCCCUCCUUUUCCCUUUCUCCUUUCCAUGGGUGAGUAUUCCUUGCCUUUAAUGCCAUUGGCGUGUGUCACUGGCAAAGCAAAUUCACUACUGGCACUGUGGGCCUGCCGACUGGUCACUGCCUUUUUGCUGGAGGUGGGAGGAUAGUCCUCCCUUGGGAUGGGGUCUGAUUCUGAUGAUCCUCUUCUUAUAUGUGGCUCCCAACCGUGUGGCUCUGCAGGUAUUUUGAAUACUCUUUUGCUAAGCAGAGUUCAGAUUGGAAAGGAUACUGGAUCAGAGAUGCAGAGCAGCUUGAUACUGACAGAUGUUAACACAAAAGCUUGAAAGGGAGAUGGUUUCAGCCUGGCAGAUCCUGGUUGGGUUUGCCUAG
RNAcentral lists this long non-coding RNA (1055 nucleotides) under Chloebia gouldiae (Gouldian finch). RNAcentral's name for it is "Erythrura gouldiae (Gouldian finch) lncRNA (ENSEGOG00005001340.1)". The record is from RNAcentral. Lineage: Eukaryota; Metazoa; Chordata; Aves; Passeriformes; Passeridae.